UCAAUAUUGGAAGCAGAUGUCAAUAUCAAUCCCAUCAACAUAAGGGCAAAGCAACUAUGCAGAAACUGCUGUGUGAGAAUGAUGUGAAGGAACCCAUGAGAAGCCAGUAGAAGAGGAAUGAUGGUGGCAUCUUACAAGAACUGAGCUGACAGACUUGGAAGAGGAAUGAAUGGCGUGAAUUGAUCUUUCGUCAGACAUGUACAGUUUAGCCUACGUUUCCACAGGGGUGCUGAAAAGGAUGCAAACCUUGGGGCUUCCUUCUUUCUAAGCUCUGUAUGACAUUUUUAGUCACCUCUACCAACAUGCAGGCUUCUUAACAAAGUCACUAACUAGCAGAUUUUUUUUCCAUGAAUAAAUAGUUCUCUUUGUCUCA
This is a long non-coding RNA of Calypte anna (Anna's hummingbird), 373 nucleotides long. RefSeq lists it as uncharacterized. NCBI's taxonomy places the organism in Eukaryota, Metazoa, Chordata, Aves, Apodiformes, Trochilidae. The transcript has 2 exons. The record is from RefSeq and is a predicted model, not a curated record.